RNAcentral lists this ribosomal RNA (221 nucleotides) under uncultured bacterium. Its description in RNAcentral is "partial 16S ribosomal RNA". It matches the Rfam family "Bacterial small subunit ribosomal RNA", at positions 99 to 334 of the family's 1533-position model. The record is from RNAcentral.
CGUACGGGUGAGUAACACGUGGAUCAUCUACCUCUUUGUGGGGGAUAACUCUGGGAAACCGGAGCUAAUACCGCAUAAGCUCGAGAGAGGAAAGUAGCAAUACGCAGAGAGAGGAGUCCGCGGCCGAUUAGCUAGUUGGCGGGGUAAUGGCCCACCAAGGCGAUGAUCGGUAGCCGGCCUGAGAGGGCACACGGCCACACUGGCACUGAAACACGGGCCAG